RNAcentral lists this long non-coding RNA (1808 nucleotides) under Phasianus colchicus (ring-necked pheasant). RNAcentral describes it as "lncRNA (ENSPCLG00000017834.1)". The record is from RNAcentral. Lineage: Eukaryota; Metazoa; Chordata; Aves; Galliformes; Phasianidae.
ACCCUACAACCAACCCCAUAACUCCACAUCCCAUCCCAAAACCCCAAACCCAACUCCAUUACCAACCCCAUAACCCCACAUCCCACCCCAAGACCCCACAUCCCACCCUACAACCCCACAUCCAACCCCAUGAACCCAAUCCCAUAAACCCCAAAACCCCACAUCCCACCCAAAAAACCCCAAUCCCAUAACCCCACAUCCAACCCCAAAACCCCAAACCCAACAUCCCACCCCAAAACCCCAAAUGCCACCCCAAUCCCAUAACCCCACAUGCCGUUUAUAGGGCAGCAGAAACAAAAGAUCCCAAUAGAGGAGAAAAUCUGCCUUUAUUUGGGGGGAACUUAUGGGGCUGAGGGUGCUAUGGGGCCGCCCCACACACGGCUAUAGGGCCAAACUCUAUAGGGCAGCCCCACAUAUGGUUAUGGGGCCAAACACUCUAUGGGGUCACCCCACACAUGGCUAUGGGGCCAAACACUCUAUGGGGUCACCCCACAUAUGGUUACGGGGCCAAGCACUCUAUGGGGUCGCCCCACAUAUGGCUAUGGGGCCAAACGCUCUAUGGGGUUGCCCCACACAUGGUUACGGGGCCAAACGCUCUAUGGGGUCACCCCACAUAUGGUUACGGGGCCAAACACUCUAUGGGGUCACCCCACACAUGGCUAUGGGGCCAAACGCUCUAUGGGGUCACCCCACACAUGGCUAUGGGGUCGCCCCACACGUGGCUAUGGGGCCAAACACUCUAUGGGGUCGCCCCACACAUGGCUAUGGGGUCACCCCACACAUGGCUAUGGGGCUGAGCACUUUAUAGGGUCAAGAACUCUAUAGGGCCGCCCCACAUCUCCCCCAUCUCAGCGCCGUCCAUCAGCAGAACCUACAGAGACAAAGCAGAGCUGUGAGCCCCCACCCCACAAAUCCCAUAUAGGGCGUCCCCAUCCCCCACGGCCCUAUAGAGGGUCCCUAUUAGGGUUCCUAAGGGGGGGGGAGGAGGGGGGUGGUUGGGGUCAGGAUCCUAAAAAGGGGGGUGGGGGAGGUGGUCCCAAACCUCGGGUCUAUAUGGGGUCAUUAAGGGGGGAUCCACACUCUCAUGUCCCUAUAGGGGGGGUCCGCAGUCCCAUAGAUUUAUAGGGGAUCGCCCUGCCUAAGAGGGGGAUGGGGGUCCCUAUGGGGAUCCUAUAGGGGGUUCUGGAUGCCCUCAUCCCUAUUGGGGUCCCUAAAGGGAGGGGGCUCCUCUGGAAGUUCCCAAUCCCAUAUCCCUAUGGGGUCCUUAUAAAAAAGGGUCCUAAGGGGGGUCCUUAAUGGGGUUUCCCAACCCCAUAUCCUUUUUGGGGUCCUUAAGGGGGUUCCCAACCCCAUAUCCUUUUUGGGGUCCUUAAGGGGGUUCCCAACCCCAUAUCCUUAUUGGGGUCCUUAAGGGACCUUGGGGUCCUAUGGGGUCCUUAAGGGGGUUUGCCAACCCCAUUUCCAUUUUGGGGUCCUCAAGGGACCUUGGGGUCCUAAAGGGGGUUUCCCAACCCCAUAUCCUUUUUGGGGUCCUUAAUGGGGUUUCCCAACCCCACAUCCUUAUUGGGGUCCUAAAGGGGGUUUCCCAACCCCAUAUCCUUAUUGGGGUCCUUAAUGGGGUUUCCCAACCCCAUAUCCUUAUUGGGGUCCUUAAGGGGGGUUCCCAACCCCAUAUCCUUUUUGGGGUCCUUAAGGGACCUUGAGGUCCUUAAUGGGGGCUUUCCCAAUCCCAUAUCCCUAUUGGGGUCCUUAUAAAAAAGGGUCCUUAAGGGGGGUCCUUAAUGGGGGUUUCCCAACCCCAUAUCCUU